GCUUUCCCUCCAGAGUGGAUCCUGAGUACGGCGGAACACGUGAAAUUCCGUCGGAAUCCGGGAGGACCAUCUCCCAAGGCUAAAUACUCCCUAGUGACCGAUAGUGAACCAGUACCGUGAGGGAAAGGUGAAAAGCACCCCGGAAGGGGAGUGAAACAGUUCCUGAAACCGUGUGCCUACAAGUAGUUAGAGCCCGUUAAUGGGUGAUAGCGUGCCUUUUGUAGAAUGAACCGGCGAG
Molecule: ribosomal RNA, 238 nt
Filed under: Listeria monocytogenes
Lineage: Bacteria; Bacillati; Bacillota; Bacilli; Caryophanales; Listeriaceae
Description: partial 23S ribosomal RNA
Rfam family: Bacterial large subunit ribosomal RNA
Source: RNAcentral